Long non-coding RNA from Carassius gibelio (silver crucian carp), 1752 nucleotides. RefSeq lists it as uncharacterized. The transcript is spliced from 4 exons. NCBI's taxonomy places the organism in Eukaryota, Metazoa, Chordata, Actinopteri, Cypriniformes, Cyprinidae. The record is from RefSeq and is a predicted model, not a curated record.
CGUUUGGUAAAGCAACCCCGCCGCUUGUGCCAUAUCCGUGUCCGCUUCAGGAACCCUUUUCGUUAUCGGCUCCGGAAUCACGAAAUGGGCGACACUAGACAACACCUUGCUGUCCCCUUCAGUGGAUUAUUGAUAGAAAAUAUUGGAGGUGGCAUGGACCACCGGUUUCGAGAUUAUUUUCUCAUCGUUGCAGGGAGAAACGCACGAAAGAUGGCGCCUCGUUCGUCUCCCUUGGAUUUGAGUCUCUGACAAAUACAGCUGCAGCGCGAGCAGCGAGAAGCCUGCCUGUAGGCGGGAGACAUGCUCACGCGCGCCGCUAGAGUGAGCGAGAGAGCGCGGAGCGGCGCUUCACUGACUGGCCUCUAGAGGGAGACUGUGAACGCACUGAAAUGUUUAGGGAAAACCGUGGUACCAGAAGUAAAAUAUUCGAAUACAUUUUAAUUUACAAAUAAAUGAAUGAUUCAGAUAUUAUUAAAAUUAUCUUCCGUUUCAUAUAAAUAAUAACCACUCUAAUUAUGGUCAUUAUUCUAGGUUAAUAUAAAAUUUUCUGUCUGUCUGUUUCUAUCUAUCUAUCUAUCUAUCUAUCUAUCUAUCUAUCUAUCUAUCUAUCUAUCUAUCUAUCUAUCUAUCUAUCUAUCUAUCUAUCUAUCUAUCUAUCUGUUUCUAUCCGUCUGUCUGUCUAUCUGUCUGUUUCCAUCUAUCUAUCUAUAUAGAUAGAUGUUGAUAAUUUUAUUUUAUUUUGUAGUUUGAUGUAAAACUGUGCCAUCUGGUGUUUGAUUGGAGUCUUUCCUUUAUGUCUUAUGUUAUGACGAGGUCAAAAAUAAAGGGAUAGUGCAUGAAUAAAAAUGUUAUAUUUCACCAUCCUGUUAACAACAAAAUGUAAGACUAGAGAGGAUAUGAAAAUUGUAUGGAAUAUGUUUUACGCACACACACUUUUAAAUGGAUAGGAAUUAAUAAACAUUAGUUUUAAAUCCACCCCUUUUUCAUGAAUGAAUAUUUAUUUCCAACAGACAUGCUGGAUCUUGAUUUACAUUAUUCUGAAAUAGAAACAUUGUUGAUAUCUUGUAUUAUUAAUACCCAAAUUUAUGCAAUAUGUACCUUUCAAGAAGGAACAUUCCAUUCUGUUCUAAUUUUGCCAAAGUCACCUUUCCUAUGUGACUCCUGCCCUCUCGGACACUUUCUGCAGCCUGUUUCUCCUCCCUCUCUUCCUCCUCCUUCCCACACAGCCUGGGAAGUAAUCCUAUAUAUAUUAGUUGUUCACCGUGUACUUCCUUAAAGGCUCUUCUCAGCUCUCUGACAUUGUGUGACACAAAGAAAGAAAAAUGCCUGAAGAAGUUCCUGCUCAGUGCAAGGCUCCCAAAGAUGAGCUGGACAAAUGUGUUCAGGGGAAGGGUGCAGAGGGCUGUAAGGAGCUGCUGGAAGCUUUUGAGGCCUGUGUGAAGGGGGCCACGGCAGCCUCUUGAGGGGUCAUGCAUUUACACGUCCAUCCUUUCUGGGUCCUCCAAUGUCUUCGCAUUCCCUCACAUUGCACUGGACCGAACCAUUCUAAAGACAGUGAAGGGGAUGCAAGUGCUGGAAAGCAGUGGAAAUGUUUAUUUUGAUCCUGGGAAGUCUCAUUGGUGUCCCUCAUGUUGUCCAUGAUAUCUGUAACUGUGGAAAAAAGAAGAACCCAGUUUUAUUAUUGUUUUCCAGAUUUCACACUGUAAAAAACAGUGCAUUUCAUUUGAUUUUGAAUAAAAUACUAUAAUUGUU